CUACCAUGCAGUCGAACGAUGAAGCCCAGCUUGCUGGGUGGAUUAGUGGCGAACGGGUGAGUAACACGUGAGCAACCUGCCCCUGACUCUGGGAUAAGCGCUGGAAACGGCGUCUAAUACUGGAUAUGUCCCGUCACCGCAUGGUGUGCGGGUGGAAAGAUUUUUCGGUUGGGGAUGGGCUCGCGGCCUAUCAGCUUGUUGGUGAGGUAAUGGCUCACCAAGGCGUCGACGGGUAGCCGGCCUGAGAGGGUGACCGGCCACACUGGGACUGAGACACGGCCCAGACUCCUACGGGAGGCAGCAGUGGGGAAUAUUGCACAAUGGGCGGAAGCCUGAUGCAGCAACGCCGCGUGAGGGAUGACGGCCUUCGGGUUGUAAACCUCUUUUAGCAGGGAAGAAGCGAGAGUGACGGUACCUGCAGAAAAAGCACCGGCUAACUACGUGCCAGCAGCCGCGGUAAUACGUAGGGUGCAAGCGUUAUCCGGAAUUAUUGGGCGUAAAGAGCUCGUAGGCGGUCUGUCGCGUCUGCUGUGAAAUCCCGAGGCUCAACCUCGGGCUUGCAGUGGGUACGGGCAGACUAGAGUGCGGUAGGGGAGAUUGGAAUUCCUGGUGUAGCGGUGGAAUGCGCAGAUAUCAGGAGGAACACCGAUGGCGAAGGCAGAUCUCUGGGCCGUAACUGACGCUGA
Molecule: ribosomal RNA, 686 nt
Filed under: Microbacterium esteraromaticum
Lineage: Bacteria; Bacillati; Actinomycetota; Actinomycetes; Micrococcales; Microbacteriaceae
Description: bacterial SSU rRNA
Rfam family: Bacterial small subunit ribosomal RNA
Source: RNAcentral